GGAGGAGGGACGAUGAAGGCUAUAAAGACUGCCGUCUGUGCUCUGGGUUUGUCAGAAGCCUUCGAAUCUUACCUGCCUGUCCCUCCUCAAGCCUCCACCUGCCGACCGAGUUCUUCACUUCCUGAACAUUACGAUGUCUUUGCCAACUCCCUACUCGAAGAACUUUUCAAAAGUACUGGAAGCAAAUAGAAAGAUUGGAAUCGAUGCCGUCUUCAAAGGAGAUGGCGACAUAUUCACUGUCAUGCUGCUGUGUGAUGGAGACAACGAAAUGGCGGACGCGCUGCUCAUUUUGGACAUCGAUAGCUCUCAGAUUAAAAUUUCUUACCGCAAAGACGGCGUAAGAGAAACUCCCAAAAUAGUUCCAAGGUGUGACUGCAUAACGGACAAUCAGCUGCGUCUGUUCAUCGAAACGGAGACCAAACAAUUCAAGAUGACUCUAAACGAAAAAAAAUUGGAGAACCUUUCUUACAACUUUCCUCUGAAGAUGGUGAAAUCCAUCUGGAUCGACGGAGACAUUAAUCUUAACAAGGUCGCCUUGCCAGACGAUGCUAUCUAGGGAUCAGAUUCGAACCCUUUGUACUCCAGAAAAAUGAACUCAGUAAUUUACCUUCUAGUUCUCAUGUCUUGAUAUAAUACGCCUCCUCGGAAAUCAUGUCAAAUAUUCAAGUAUUUCAUUUGUUACUGGCUGUUUUGCUGUGAGUAGAGUAUUGCAGACAAGCAGAGAAAUUAGUUAAGCUAAUUUUUAUGUAUACUCAUCUUGGAAACAUAUUUGCCGCAGUUGUUUUUACAAUUCAGUAAACUAAGAUAAGCAGAAAUUAUUAUCGUG
RNAcentral lists this unclassified non-coding RNA (826 nucleotides) under Pomacea canaliculata. Its description in RNAcentral is "uncharacterized LOC112566810, transcript variant X1". Lineage: Eukaryota; Metazoa; Mollusca; Gastropoda; Architaenioglossa; Ampullariidae. The record is from RNAcentral.